AGUGAACGCUGGCGGUAGGCCUAACACAUGCAAGUCGAACGGCAGCACAGUAAGAGCUUGCUCUUACGGGUGGCGAGUGGCGGACGGGUGAGGAAUACAUCGGAAUCUACUUUUUCGUGGGGGAUAACGUAGGGAAACUUACUCUAAUACCGCAUACGACCUACGGGUGAAAGCAGGGGAUCUUCGGACCUUGCGCGAUUGAAUGAGCCGAUGUCGGAUUAGCUAGUUGGCGGGGUAAAGGCCCACCAAGGCGACGAUCCGUAGCUGGUCUGAGAGGAUGAUCAGCCACACUGGAACUGAGACACGGUCCAGACUCCUACGGGAGGCAGCAGUGGGGAAUAUUGGACAAUGGGCGCAAGCCUGAUCCAGCCAUACCGCGUGGGUGAAGAAGGCGUUCGGGUUGUAAAGCCCUUUUGUUGGGAAAGAAAAGCAGCAGGUUAAUACCACGCUGUUCUGACGGUACCCAAAGAAUAAGCACCGGCUAACUUCGUG
RNAcentral lists this ribosomal RNA (492 nucleotides) under uncultured bacterium. RNAcentral describes it as "partial 16S ribosomal RNA". It matches the Rfam family "Bacterial small subunit ribosomal RNA", at positions 29 to 507 of the family's 1533-position model. The record is from RNAcentral.